Molecule: long non-coding RNA, 496 nt
Organism: Physeter macrocephalus (sperm whale)
Lineage: Eukaryota; Metazoa; Chordata; Mammalia; Artiodactyla; Physeteridae
Exons: 3
Source: RefSeq, a predicted model, not a curated record
AUUAAACAUAAUAAAUUAUCUGGGCAGGAAGGUCGUAGAGGAAGUCACAGCAACAAAAUGGAUGGAAGGCACACAGGAGGCAGAAAGACAUAAAGAAGCAGACAUCAAGCCCUCAAAAUGAUAGCCAUUUAGAGUCUCAAAUGCAGGGCAAGCAAGGCAGUUACUCCUUGCGGCACCAUCAUACAGAGAUUACAAGGUCUUGAUCAGGGAUCAACAAACCCAGCCACCACCUGUUUUUCUACAGCUUGUGAGCUAAGAAUGGUUGGCACGUUUUAAAUGGUUGAAAAACACAAAUAUUUUGAGGAGGAGAAGAUAAUUGAAUUGCAUAAGCAUAUUGACUAGGACAGCUUUCAAGUUACAGGGGCAGACUCGAGUGGUUGCAAUAGAGACCACUGACCUGCAAAGCUAAGGUAUUUACUAUCUGGUGCUUUACAGAAAAAGUUUUUCAACCCUCGGUCUAAAUAAUCCAAAUUCUUUGAAAUACGUUAAGGUACGC